This 501-nucleotide ribosomal RNA is filed under the name Triticum aestivum (bread wheat). RNAcentral describes it as "partial small subunit ribosomal RNA". The record is from RNAcentral. Lineage: Eukaryota; Viridiplantae; Streptophyta; Magnoliopsida; Poales; Poaceae.
AUGCAAGCGGAUAUGGCCAAACUGCAUGAUGAUGUUCAUUCAGUCAGUUCCAAGCAAGGAGAAAUAUCACUGCAAGUGGGAAGCGUAGAGCAAGUAGUUUUGGACUUGGGCAAGCAAUUAUCCACUAUAAAUGCAAUGCUACAGACCUUGGUUAAGGCUCCUAUACAGAGAGAGACCUCAGAUCCAGCUUCGAGUUCACAGCAAGUACCCAAGUCCCCAACAGUGUCUCAAGAACAAUUGCAAAACCAAGCACUCAGGACAGAGCAACUCAAGAAACAACUUGAAGCAGAAAAAGAGAAGACCAGACAGUUGGAAGAGUUACAAAUGCAGAACUUGCCUCCCAUAAGAACAAACAGGCCUGCAGCUCCACCAGGAUUCAAUCAACAAAGUAGAAUAGAGCACGCUAGUCCCUUAGGAACCCAACUGGCUGCCAGGCACAAUGCUUAUACACCUACAUUUCAGCAGCACUACCAACAAAACAGAUACAGACAGUUGUGGUAG